Molecule: long non-coding RNA, 1595 nt
Organism: Homo sapiens (human)
Lineage: Eukaryota; Metazoa; Chordata; Mammalia; Primates; Hominidae
Gene: GARS1-DT
Product: GARS1 divergent transcript
Source: Ensembl
AUAGAAAACAAUUUUGUCUUGAAAAACAAGGACUCUUUUUCCCGUGUGGGACCAGUUCCUACUUAUGUUUUACCAGCCAAUUGGACUGGAACCUAUACAGUUGUUUAUUUAGCCCCCGAAAUUAAUAUAGCUCCCAACAACCAAUCCUUCAUUAUACUUUUAACUGCAACCACCAGACACAAAUGAGCCAUCCAACUGAUACCACUUUCGGUAGAGCUAGGAAUAACAGCAGGAGUAGGAAUGAGAGUUAGCAGCCUUGCAGUUUCCCUAUCCUAUUACCAAUGCUUGUCCAAGGAUUUUAUGGAAAGCUUAGGUGACAUUGCCCAAAAGUAUCAUCACCUUACAAAAUCAGAUAGAGUCUUUGGCAGUGGUGGCUUUGUAAAAUAGAAGGGGACUGGAUCUCCUAAAUGCUGAAGAAGGUGGCUUAUGUCUUUUUCCUAGAGGAAGAAUGCUGUUUUUAUGUCAACCAAACAGGAUUAGUAAGGGAUGCCACCCAAAAACUAGCCGAUUGGUACCAUAAGAUAUGACAACAGCUGUCUGAGUCAUGGGGCGCCUAGUCAAAAUGCUAAUUUGGGGCUCACAUCUCCUUCCUCUGGCCAGUCCACUAUUAAUUAUUAUACUUGCCUUGGCUUUUGGAUCAUGUUUGUUAAAUCUUUUAACCAGAUUUAUUUCUUCUUGCCUAGAGACCAUUAUGAUAAUGCAGCAGGGCCACCAGUCAGUUUCAGAUAAUGAUGUCAACCCCGGCCACCAAGAAGUAACCUUGUCUCCACUAGACAGAGCAGGUUGCAGGAAUUUAGCCAAUUCAGAGGUCUUGUUCUCCAUAAUUUGGAAUUUUCCUUCGGAUUUGAUCAAGUUGGAUAGAGUUGGUCAAACCCAAUGGGAAAAAGAUGAAAACAACAAGAAACAGAAACAAACAGCAACAACAACAACAACAAAAACAGACCCCACACCUCCAGACCCUGCUGAGGGAGGGCCACCCAUUUCUAGUCCCAGCUCCUACUCUAACUAUCUGUGUGACCUUAAACAAGGCCUUUCCCCUCUCUGGCCUCAGUAUCCGCCUCUGAAUAAUGGGGCUGGGCCUGCCGACCUUCUGGCCCUUUUCUGCUCUGUGAGUUUGUGAACUUGUGAUAGGGAGACAGGAGUCCUAGGAAGGAAAUGGAACUGGUGAUAGGGAGACAAGAGUCCUAGGAAGGAAAUGGAACUUGUGAUAGGGAGACAAGAGUCCUAGGAAAUGGAAGGAGAGCACGUUUCACUCUGUCCAGCAGAGGGCAGCAGCUACCCACAAAUCAACAGCUGAGCAAGGCCAGGGCUGUGUGGGAGCUAUGCACAGGUUCUGCCUCCAGAAGCCUUCAGUGCCUGCCUCUGAGCCAGAGGGUUCCAAGCAGAAGAGGUCCCGCCCCCGGAGAGGGACCUCAGAGAGGUCCUCCAAGCCCCUCUCAGCUCUUACUUACGGCAUCCCAGAUGCCCUAUUCCUCUUCUGCAGAGAGAAGGUGGUUCAGCCACUAAAUGGUGCUGGGACCUCGCAGUUUGGUGGGAAGGAGGAAGCUUACUCAAGCAAGGAAUAUGAGACAGGCAAAAACCCACGCAUAAGCCAA